RNAcentral lists this ribosomal RNA (251 nucleotides) under uncultured prokaryote. RNAcentral's name for it is "partial 16S ribosomal RNA". It matches the Rfam family "Bacterial small subunit ribosomal RNA", at positions 524 to 774 of the family's 1533-position model. The record is from RNAcentral.
UACGUAGGGUGCGAGCGUUGUCCGGAAUUACUGGGCGUAAAGGGCGCGCAGGCUGUUAUGCGAGUCUGCUGUGAAAUGUACCGGCUCAACCGGUGCCUUGCGGCGGAUACUGCAUAGCUGGAGUACUGGAGAGGGAAGUGGAAUUCCCGGUGUAGCGGUGAAAUGCAUAGAUAUCACGAGGAACUCCGAUUGCGCAGGCAGCUUACUAAACUACUACUGACGCUCAGGCACGAAGGCGUGGGGAUCAAACA